ACGGGGGCAGCAGUGGGGGAUAUUGCACAAUGGAGGAAACUCUGAUGCAGCAACGCCGCGUGAGGGAAGAAGGUUUUCGGAUUGUAAACCUCUGUUUUUAGUGAGGAAAAAAAUGACGGUAGCUAAAGAGGAAGCCACGGCUAACUACGUGCCAGCAGCCGCGGUAAUACGUAGGUGGCAAGCGUUGUCCGGAUUUACUGGGUGUAAAGGGUGCGCAGGCGGGACUGCAAGUUGGAUGUGAAAUACCGAGGCUUAACCUCGGGGCUGCAUCCAAAACUGUAGUUCUUGAGUGAAGUAGAGGUAAGCGGAAUUCCGAGUGUAGCGGUGAAAUGCGUAGAUAUUCGGAGGAACACCAGUGGCGAAGGCGGCUUACUGGGCUUUAACUGACGCUGAGGCACGAAAGCAUGGGUAGCAAACAGGAUUAGAUACCCUGAUA
Molecule: ribosomal RNA, 436 nt
Filed under: uncultured Clostridiales Family IV bacterium
Lineage: Bacteria; Bacillati; Bacillota; Clostridia; Eubacteriales; Eubacteriales Family IV. Incertae Sedis
Description: bacterial SSU rRNA
Rfam family: Bacterial small subunit ribosomal RNA
Source: RNAcentral